This 430-nucleotide unclassified non-coding RNA is filed under the name soil metagenome. Its description in RNAcentral is "partial contains 5.8S ribosomal RNA, internal transcribed spacer 2, and large subunit ribosomal RNA". The stretch from base 1 to 120 matches the Rfam family "5.8S ribosomal RNA", at positions 35 to 154 of the family's 154-position model. The record is from RNAcentral.
GAUGAAGAACGCAGCGAAAUGCGAUACGUAAUGUGAAUUGCAGAAUUCAGUGAAUCAUCGAAUCUUUGAACGCAUAUUGCGCUCUCUGGUAUUCCGGAGAGCAUGCUUGUUUGAGUAUCAGUAAACACCUCAACUCCCUUUUCUUUUUUGAAAUUGGAGCUGGACUUGAGUGAUCCCAACGCUUUCUUCCAAGAAAGUGGCGGGUUGCUUGAAAUGCAGGUGCAGCUGAACUUUUCUCUGAGCUAUAAGCAUAUCUAUUUAGUCUGCCUAAAAAACAGAUUAUUACCUUUGCUGCAGCUAACAUAAAGGAGACUAGUUCUUGUGCUGACUGAUGCAGGAUUCACAGAGCCAGCUUCGGCUGACUUUGUAAACUCGAUCUCAAAUCAAGUAAGACUACCCGCUGAACUUAAGCAUAUCAAUAAGCGGAGGA